Lactuca sativa (garden lettuce) is the source of this 798-nucleotide long non-coding RNA. RefSeq lists it as uncharacterized. The record is from RefSeq and is a predicted model, not a curated record. NCBI's taxonomy places the organism in Eukaryota, Viridiplantae, Streptophyta, Magnoliopsida, Asterales, Asteraceae.
CUACGAUCCUACCCCAAAUACGAUCCGGAUCAUUUUUCAUACCUAGGAUUAUACGAUCCUACGAUAAGGAUCGCGAUUUUGACAACCAUGAAAUUUACGAGAUAAACCAUAAAAUCUCGAAAACUUAAAAAUUGUUUUGUUUUGGAUAAUAUACCUGAAUAACUUUUUGUUUACAUUAAAAAAAAAAUCAUAAUAAAUUAAAAAAUAAAAAAAAAAUAAGUAAAACCGAUAAAACCGUAAACACUGUGUUCGAUUUGUCCUGACAAGUAAAAACAAAAAAAAAGACAGGAAAUCUCCCCAAUUUCCAAAAUUCCACCGGCAUUAGGGUUCCGAUUUGAACAAUUUCAACAAGGGAUCGAACCUUUUCUUACAGUGUUGAUCAUGUGUAGAUUGGUUGCUAGUGAAGACACAUCAGCUGGUGAAUUAGAGCAUCAUCAAAGCACUGUAAAUGGAACUCGCCGCAUGCACCCACAAAUUCAAGCACAAAUUGCACGUUUGGAAGCAAGGAUAAGUAGGGUUGAAGCUCGGAUGGAAAGGCUUGAAGUUAGUGUUUUAUAUCUUCAAAGGCGAAUGUACAUAUAUGGCUUUGUCUGUCUCAUGUCUGUUUUGUAUGCUAUAUAUAAAUGAGUUUUAGUAAUUAGUAUAUUGUUGUAUUGUACAACUGUAGUGGUGUCAUGUUGUACUGUCUGACAAACAAAAAUUAUCAAGAUUGAUAAAUUAUUAGUGUUAUUUUAGAAAACUUGUGACUCUUGUUUUGAGUCUGUGUUUGUUCUUACUUUAGCUAUAAAAGAAAAAUAA